UGAAACUAGAAUCCUUCAUUUAGUGCU
RNAcentral lists this non-coding RNA (27 nucleotides) under Rattus norvegicus (Norway rat). Lineage: Eukaryota; Metazoa; Chordata; Mammalia; Rodentia; Muridae. The record is from RNAcentral.